Long non-coding RNA from Triticum dicoccoides, 441 nucleotides. RefSeq lists it as uncharacterized. Lineage: Eukaryota; Viridiplantae; Streptophyta; Magnoliopsida; Poales; Poaceae. The record is from RefSeq and is a predicted model, not a curated record. The transcript is spliced from 2 exons.
GCUUCUUCGGCCCCUCUGUUCCAGCGGCCGCCCAUGUCCAUCCGUCCUUCGCCGUCGCCGCCGGUGGUCUCCGGUGGCGGCGGGGGACGCCGGCCUCUUAGAUCGCCACUCUCAUCCAGCUGCCCCUGCGUUUUCCUCAACUGGUGCGGAUCUGGAUGUCAGGAAUCCGGUAGUCUAGUCUGGGGAUUCGUGAUUGGAGCCAUGGAAUUUCUAUCAUCUGUAGCAGUGGGACUAGUGUCUAGUGUGGUUACUGCUACCACAGCUUCUUAUUCAGCUGAAUUUUAUUUUCUUUAUAGAAGCAUCAAUCAUGUUCAGUUUUGUGUGAGAUAAUUGUAAACAGAGCCAAGGGUUAUAUCAGAGUUAUGUCGUGACUGCGUAGCUGUAGGCUAGUAGCCAUGCCAAUUACAGAUUGGCUGAAUGAAUUCAUGAACAUUGGUUUGA